RNAcentral lists this non-coding RNA (30 nucleotides) under Homo sapiens (human). Lineage: Eukaryota; Metazoa; Chordata; Mammalia; Primates; Hominidae. The record is from RNAcentral.
UCUGCCAUCAAACACAGAAUGCCCUGAUCC